Molecule: long non-coding RNA, 17915 nt
Organism: Numida meleagris (helmeted guineafowl)
Lineage: Eukaryota; Metazoa; Chordata; Aves; Galliformes; Numididae
Exons: 2
Source: RefSeq, a predicted model, not a curated record
CAUCCACCAGAAGGUACUGAGAUGGAGAAGACUGAUGAAGUGAACUUUUGAUACUCGUUUCUUAUGUUGGGCAAUGUGGUUUCUGUGGCCUUGCCAGACCUUUAAAAGUGAUUGCUUUCCUCUCCCACUGCCACUGAUUUUUUUUUAACUGCUCUUCAUUCAUUGAAAUUCGAGGUUGGUCACGUGAGUGUACUUCAGGGUUCCCUCUGGUUAAGAAGAAAUAGAAAUGGUGACCACCAGCUGACUGAAGGUGUGCACUUGCUCCUUGAAAACUUUAAGCUAGUACUGUCUUGUAUGUUUGUUCUGAAGACUCAUCUUUCUUUUGCUGUGCACACUGUUCAGAACUUCAAUUUUGAAGUAUAUUAAGGAGAUGGUAAAAGCUGUCAAUGCUAUAUAUUUGUUUGUGUUAUGUGUCCAUCUCUAGAGCUAUUUAUGAUGAAAACUGUCAAGGGACCUUACAGUGUUUAUUUCAGUGUGAAGUGGUGGAAUAUACAUCAACUUUCUCUUCUUAUCAACUGUUGCUUUCAGUGAAGCUGCUGAUAAUAAUUUAAACACCUCUGAGUAGGACAGGGGUGUGUAAUCUGAAAGACUGCUGGUUUACAUUCUUUCCUUCAGAUUCCUGUCAGAAUUACUUCACUUUCUACCUCCGUGUUAAUUUUAGAAAUACAGAAUGAGGCAAUAUUUUUUAUACAUACACAGUUACGCUUCGAAAACACAAUAUCCUACAAAAACCUUGGCAUCUGUUCUAAGACAGAUGUUUUAACCUUUAUCUUCCUAAAGGAAACAGAGUUGGAAAAAUCUAAAAUAUGUGAUGUUUAUUAAGCACAGCUCAGAGUGGUAUUUAAAACCCAUUAAGAACCCUGUUAGAGAGAAAGUAGAGCAUCCCUUUGAGAGAUUUGGUAAAAGAUGCUGUUGAGGCCUUGGUUCCUGGAGUACUAAGAAAGAAUUACAGCUUUGUGUUUAUUUACACUUACAUCACUCAACAUUAUCUGGAAAAUGCAAAGUAGUGUGCUGUUAGUGUUCAUCCUUGUUUUAUGAUAAAUCACAUCAAAUCUUCAUAAAAAAAUAGCAUGAUCAAGCUGAUAUAGUGGUCACUGCACUUUCAGGAGUAGUCGCUGGCUGAUGAUGCUGGGACUACUAAUGAGCUGAGCAAGCAGGCAUUGUCUUUUUCAUAAGAAAACUGCAGCAGGGAGAGCUUGAUGUUUGUCUUCUCUCCAUGAGCAGUGACUAAAUGUGAGGUGCACUGGAAUCACUGCUGUUCAGUGUAUUAUCCUGAAAUUCACAUUGUGUGAAAUCUUGCCUUACAGGAACUAAUGACAAUGGGACAUAGUCCAGCCAGCUAAAAUGAUUUCUCAAGUGUUUGGAAUCUCAAUUCAUAUUCUUAUUCUGAUAAAUAAUUCUAGCCUUCUGUAUAAAUACCUUUUUAAAAAAUGAUAGGACAAAUUGCUGCACAUCAAAAUCUGCUUAAGAAGGGCUUAGCCCCUUUUCAUACCAGAAGAAAUAGUUUUAAAGUUACAUACAUACAUGAAUAUGUUGAUUUAUUUAUAUUAUAUAUUAUAUAUACACACAUACUUUUAUCGGUACACACAUAAACAUAUAUACUUGUUAUUAUUUAUAAAACUUAUUUUUUAUAGCUAUUGUAAAUACAAUACUUCAAAAAUGAAUUUUAUUAUUAAGUGAAUUAAGUAAUGUGGUUAGCAUAACACACUAAGGUGGGGUGGGUGUGCAUUAACAUUUUGAGUGCAUUAUCUGUGGUAUAAUGCAGACUGCUUACUUUCUGCUAAGUAAGCUGAAGCUUUCAAGAAAGAAGUUUGUUAGUAUCCUAGUGAAGAUUCCCCGUGUAGAAAACUCCAUUGCAAAGCAUAUGCUUACAACAACUAUUUUUGCCUUUUUUUUCUUUCUUUUUAAGAGCAGUGGAGUUCGUGGUCAUUUAGAAUAAAUUCUGGUGUGGCUGCUUUAUUACCUCAGUGCCCAAAUAAGCUUGGGUAAUAGCUGUAUUCUCCUUUCUUGAGGAAUGCUGCUCUUAAUUUGCCUCUCCAAGAACAUUAAAAUAAGAGCUUCUUGGAUGUUAUGAAGCAAUAUCAUUAGGCAAUUAGUAAAAUGUAUGUAUUGGAUUUGUUUAGUCGGGUACUUUUCAGUCUUAUAAGCUGUUAACUGGUGGAGUACAGACAUUUAGUUUUGCUUUUAAAGCCAUGUGUAAUUUAGUUUAUUGCUUAUACUACAUGUGAAAGCACAUACGUGAAUUCAAAUCUCUCCACAAAUUAAUGUUUCUCUAUUUUUUCAGAAGUGAAAUUUUUAAACAAGAUGGUUAACGAUUAUCAUUAAGGUAGUUUGUGAUGAGAACUAAGAGAAUGUGGUGACUGGCAUUGCAGGCAGCAAAAGUAUUCUCAAGGUUUUCAGUGUGAAAGCUUUUUAAAUAAUUACUAGAGUCUCAACAUCUUUUAAAAUGUUAUUGCAAGGGAAUGUUCUGUGAAAUAAGUAUUUAAAAUAAUGACACAAACUUCAUAUGUAUACAGCAUACUGGGUUUCAUUUUCACAACUCAGGGGUUUGUGGGUUUUACAUUAACUUGCUAAGUGGGAUUAUUCACUACAUUACUUUCCUGUCUUUAAGUUGGAACUGGUUACUCCCCUGUUCCGAAUGUCUUUGAGACUUAAGAAGCUUCUUAGGCUCAUUUGAAGAGUCGUUUCAAGGGUCUCUUGGAAAAUGCAUCCUAAUUCUCAAGAAAGGAGGAGAUUAGACAUCAUUAAAGGUUCAGUGGACCAUUCAAAUUUAAUUUGAAUAAUUUCAGGUUAUCCUACCCUUUAUCAGUAAAAUGCUUAAAUAUGCGAAGAAUGACUUGUAAGACAAAUAUGGCUGCAUGCAGCAAAGCAAGAGUUAUCAAAGUCAGAAUUGGAGUGACACUUGCAUUCCUCAAACUUCAAAGAAAAUCUUUUGUCUUCUCUUGUGAUUUACUAACUAUAAAAUCAAUCUGUCUUUCCUAUAUUUUCCCCUUAAUUGCUUACCAGGUUUAAUUAUGAUGCAGUUGAGUUUAAGAAAUCGACCUUGCUUCCUACCUUUUAAGUUAGGAAGUGUGUAAUGGCUGUGUGUAGUUAGGGUAAAUCCUGGAGUGUUGGGAAUGGCUCCUUCCUUUUUAGAAUAUAUAGAAUUUAAGAAUAUCUUUUGAAAUUUAAAUCUAACACUUAAAUAUACAGUGACUGAAAGGUAGCGAAUACAUCUGUCACUGGAGAAAUAGCAUUUUCUAAGGAGGUGUUUCUUCAAAGCAGAUGAAAUAAAAGGAAUAAACAAAGUGACUGAUAACAAAAGGGGCUACAAGCAGAUUGGUCAACAACUCCAUAUAGAAGGUAGCAGUUUAAAAGGCAUUGUAUUGAGAACCUCAUGUGAUAGCCUGAAGUUCACAACUCCAAGCCUUUUGACAGUACCAUGUUUCUGUUCUUUUGUCUGCAUUACAGCCAUGUUUCAGCUACUGAACCUGACCCAGGCAACGAGUCUGCACCUUUUUCUAGUGGGUUUGCUUUUCUUUCAGAAUUAAGUGUGUUGCAGAUAUUCUCUGAAUUUCUCGUCUCACAAAGUUCAGCAAUACAAAUUCAGGUUUUUGCAUAAUGCUUUCUUUGUCUGAUAUAUGGUAAGUGAUACAGUGGCAGUGAGGCUGCAGCUUAUAAACUGAACCCUGCAUAUCACAAAUCAUGCUGAUUGAAUAUAUGAGGGGAAUAAAUAUGUUUUAACUUGCACCCACACACAAUUCCUGAGGAAUUUGAAAACUGCAUUCAGAUAGGUUAUAAAAACAUAAAAUAAGAUGCACUAAUCUUCAUUAAUCGUAUGUCUUGUAACAGAACUUUUUCCUUUUUUUCCCCUUCCGUGUUCCACCAGUUCUUUGCUAUAAAUGACUAGAAAAGGGCGGGCACAGAGGGGAAACAAUACUUGAUGCUAUCCUUUUAACUUUCAUUUCCCUUGAAAUGCUCUGAUUCAUGUAUACUGUAGAACAUGGUGGCAGGAGCAACACGUAUUUCUUGAGUCUUCUUUCUGAAGGGAUGGCAUUCCAUGGCAAGGCUUUCAAAGAGCUCAUGAGAAGAGUGUUGUUGCUCAGCAGCUCCUUGCAGAGAGGGAAGGCAGUGGUCCUGUUCCUAGAUUCCUGGGGGAUCUGAGAGCUGUGGGCUCUGGCUGGAGGAUGCGGCUGUGCCCAGUGCACUCUUGGGGCUAGAAGUAUGAUUCCCAGCUCCAGCCAUCCCUGUUAAAUUUAGACAGUGGUUCUGUUCUGUCCACUAAUUAGAAGGAGCUGAGAUAGGUGAGUUGUAGCUAUUGCCCAUGGUGGGAGGAAAGGCUUCAGCAGCCUGGGCUACUGAAGCAUGGCUGUGGUUAGGGUGCACACGUUUGAUGCAUCUGAAAUGGCAAGCUCACUGUUACUGGUUGUAAGGAAGAUGUUCAUAUUCAGUGACACUGAAUGUUUUGGGGGGUUCUUUUCUGUGGAGGAAGAGAAUUCGAGAGCUCUUCAGCAGGGUUACGAGGGCUUUAUUUUCACCCUGCACAGUGUUAACUGGUAGUCUCUGGGGCAGGAUUUUCUGUAUGGACUAGUUUGUUCUUCUGAGGAAUUAAUAUGGGGUUCUGUAUGCUGAAGUGCUGGAGUAGACCUGUUUUGUUCUGUAUAAAAGGAGCCCAUGUAUUCCCGAGAAUACUUUGAACACAGGCUCAAACACCAAGUUUGCACAGGAGACCGUCACCCUUAUUAGCCAAACACUUCUUGAAAGAGAAGAGUUAAGAUUGUUUGCUGUCCCCUUCCCCCCUUCAGCGGAGGUUAGAAAUACCCUUAUCUUCAAAGCUUGGCGUGGAUUUGAGAUGAACUCUCUGAAGGGCCCUGCUUCCAUCUGCACUCUGGAACACCUGCAUUCCUAACAUUACUGCCAAUCACUCGGUGCUGCAGUAGUAAAACUGUGAAGGUUGCAAACCUGUGUUAUUUAUUUUUAAUACGUUUUGAAUUAAAUAAUUUAUUUUAAACAACAUUUUGUUAAAAAUACUAUAAACACUGAUCCAGGGCAGUCUGCCUGAAAAUAAGAGGCUAUAAAUAAAGUGUGUGAUUUUAUUAUUUUUUUUAAGAGAAAAAAUGUUUCUUAGCCUAGAGUCUGUAGUUAUUUUUUAGGACCUUUUCAUGUACUGGCAACUAAAUACCAGUGAAGGAAGGGACAGGGGCUACAGUGAGUUCAGGACAAGCCUGUGGACUGAAUGUAGCCCCUGGUGACAUUGAGGACUGUGGCUGUUCAAACAGGAGAACCUGAAAGACACAAGCCCUGCUGUCCUCUUGGCUGCCAGUGUGUCUGGCCCUGGUCUGCAGAAUUUUGGAUGCUUCCCACUAACCUUACAAGUGACUAAACUAGUGUGUGUGGCCCUUGAGAGGAGAAAACAUCGCUCAUUUCUGCAGGUGCACUUAUCUAGCUAGGUAUACAGACAUAACUGAAUCUCUUUGGUGGCUUCUUGGAAUGGAGCGUGAGGUGACUGAAAGUAUAUGUUGGUUUAAGAGGUUUGAUUUUUGAGGUAGCAAAUGAAGGUGCUGUGCAGAGUGAAUGUAGGAGUAAAGGUCCUUGAGAGCGUCCUGCAGUGGGCAAGCUGCUAAAACACUGUAGUGAAGUGUGAAGUUCUUGCUUGAAAUGCACAUAUAUUGAAUAAAAGUCCUUAUGAACUGCUUGUGCUGGCUGUUGCAUGGAAUUGUUGGCAUGUCCGUUUUUUUGGUCAUUCAUCAGUGUACAUUUAGUAGAAAUGCUUUUUUCUGCAGCGCUGGUGCCAGGUGCAGUGAUCACAGUAUGGUUUUGGAGAAGCUUGUUCCAAGCUGUGCUCGUGGAAUGCCUUUGGCCAUCCUACUGCAGGACAGCUUAAAUAGCUCUUUGCUUUGCAGCACUGAGGAACUGGAGUCCCUGUCGCUUCUGUCAGACCUUUGCUAACAGCAUGGAUGCACUGAAUGUCUGUAGAACAAAGAAGCUUUCCUGCUUUAAUCCUUUAAAGUCAACUCACUUUUUCUUUCUUAUGACCAGUUUGAUUUUAAGGAAGCAGAAAUUUAACAAAAGCUUGCCGAACAGAAUUAGUCUUCAUGUGUUUAAUGAAGUGUAGUUUACUACAGCUGCCUCCUUAAGCCAGUUUGUUUUGUCUACCAUUCGGAGUACUACCCUGUGAAGAAAUCCAACACUUUGCAGUUUCCUGUUGUUCAUUUUGUUUAACUUUGGCUAUGAAUUACGUUUGGCUCUAUUACAAAGCUUUCAGAAGAUAAUCAGAAGAAAACAAGAGUCAGGAAGAAAUAAUACACACUUGUUUUGAUUCUAUAAAUCUGCUUUACUGCCAGCUCACUGGGCAUAGCAUAGGAGACAAGAGGAUCCCAAAGAGUGAUGCUGUUUCUGGUUGGCAGUGCACAGUGGCUAAUUAGGUACGUUUAGUCUAGAGCACUUUACCCAGCUGCCACUGACUCCUCCAAAUCAGCAAAGAAAGAUCUUUAUUUUAUAUUUUCAUUGCCCGUUUUUCUUCAGCCCUCUUGUAAAUUUUCAUACCUUUGGUAUGUCACCUUAUUAUUGAUUGAUUUGUUAAAAUCAUGUUCAAAAUUCCAGUACGUAUUACUGAAUUCAUGAAGGAGAAAUUCUAUGGAUAUGCUUUCUUAUUCUUUGGUACACAGUUCAGUAAAAGCAGAUUUGUUCAUUUCAAAGCCAAUGCAUUUGAGUAGUAACUUUUUUAACAAUUUCAUUACUAUUUAGUAGAACUUUGUGGACUAUCUUGCAUGACUAAUGCAUGUUGCUUCAUGAGAUAGUAUAACAUGAAAUGGGAAUGGCUGUCUUGGAUUUGUGGACUUCAAAGUUGUCUUCCUAUGACUCAUCCUUUUCAGAUCUUGUCAAUAUUCAAUCCUACUGCAAAUCCUGUUUGUGCAAAACUGCAGAGUCCACUAUUUAAGGAUAAUCCUGUUAAUGCAGAAAACUGUGAUUAACUGUCAUUCACAUAUUAUAAGCAGCGUCUGUUUUUCUUAUCAGAAGGGCAGCUAUAGUUACUAAUUACUCCAUAGAGAGGGUUUUGUGGUUUCCUGUUAAAACAUGAAAGUCAAGUUUUCCCCUUUCCCAAGGUUUGGGGAAGGAGUUGGGCAAAAUAAAAUCAGUCCUAAUCUUGAUAGUUGCUAGCAUGCAUCAGUGAUACGUAAACAUACAUUUUCCAUGUGUAUAUAGUAAUUAUAGCUUAUUGCUGUUGUUUCACUUUAAUUUUCAGAGUUAACUGCAUUGUUCUUCUCUGGUUUUGUCAUGGCACAUCUUAUAAAUGAAGGAUUUGUGACUUCUAUUUUAUAAAAGCUUGAACCAAGGUUUCUGCGAGGUUUUGUGUUACAUGGGUAAAAACACAGAGCACUCUAAAGUUCAAGGUUAAGGUGCUUUCCCCUUCAGCUUGCUUUAAUGUUGUGGGCUGGGUCUUUCAGGCCCUGCAUUUCCCUUUGCAUGCCCCUAUAGAUGGCUGAGGCCUCUCUGGCUAGAAGCUAUGCCCUCCAGCAUGUCCACACUUCUUUCCUUUUUGUCUUUGGACUAGUUUGGGAUGCACUGCUUCUUUCUGCCUAGGUUAUUGGUGAAAAUACUCCACCACUAUCAAUCCUGAAUAGAAUUUCUUUGCUAGCCUCUACCUUUUGAUCCUGAAGGCCCAGUCAGUUUUUUCACCUUCCUUGUUAUCCGCUCAUCCAGCAUCUCCUCAUCUUGACCACAAGGAGAAGUGCCAUGGUCUUCUGUGUUGGCAAGUGUUGAGAGCCUUGCCAUAGCUCAGGCAAAAGAACUGGGCUGCUGUCUGUUUGUUUUUAGAGCCCACAUUUUGUCAGAGAAGACAUUGCUCAAGAGCAGUGUCGCCUUAGGAUGUGGUUGCUCCUGUAAGUUGCUGCUGCCUUGUAUCUGGGAACAGUUUCUGUUAGGACCAUUUCUGUUGGUUUCCUGGGAGUGGGGCAGAGGCUGACAGUAAUUCUGUGGAUCCUCCUAGCUGCCUUAUUUCUGUUUUUGGUUUUGGUACAACAUUCUUGGUAUAUUUCUUGUGUUUCUGUCCACAGCUGAAGUUUGACCUGAUAUUUUCAAAUGGUCUCCACAGUGAUACCUGUGCUUUGCUCCUGAGUAUGCCUCAGUGCUUAUUUCAGAUGCAGUUUUAUCAGUUGAAAUUGUGAACUCUAUUCUCAGCUUCUCAUAUUUUCUUUUGUUGUUGGCUUUAUAUUUUAUUCUUUUAGAGUUGACUGUUCCAGUUAAUGUUUUUUUUUGCUGUUCCCCUUCUAUCCUGCUGUCUAAAAUCACUAAUGCACUGGUAACAGUGGUUCCAGUACUGUUUCUUGUUUUAUUUCUUAAUUUAAAUGGUAGUAAUAAUAAAAAUACUUACCCUUCAUUUUCUAAUUCUUACCAGUUAUUAACCCUUAAGGAAACCAUUUCUGACCUGAGGCACUCCUUUAUAAAUGUCAUCUAAAGUAUUAAAAAAAUGUUUCUAUAGAAAGUCUGUUAAAGCAAAAGUAUAUUCAAAGCAAUUCUCUCAUUUAUGUGCAAGCUUCUUCUGCAGAUAUAAAUUUUCGUGUAUGAUUUCAUUGGCCUUUGCGGUACUGAGUGCAGUUUUUAACGUUAAGCUCAUGAAUAAGUGUUGUCAGAGCUGAGAUUGUAAAUAAUACAGGGAGAGAUGUGCCUCAUUGAUGUGGUUUUUUGUUUGUUUAUUUUGAGGGAUUUUGUAAAUUUACAGUCCACAUAACUAACAAUUAAAGUUGCCAUUAACAUACCAACGUGUUGCAACAUUGUUUUCUUAUUUCAGAAUGAUGAAAAUUAAGAGCACAGAAUAAUCUUCAAAGAACAAAAACUUACACUGAACUUUGCUCAUGCUGGCUUAAGAGAAAUAAGACCUGCAAGUGAGAAUCCCCUACUAAAUGCCAGACUUCCCCCAGCUGCUGCAUGCCUUCAUCUUAAUUUACUUCAGUACCUUUCAAAGACAUUGUUGGAUGUUUUAUAUAAGAGAAACAUUUCUAGCAAUGUUGGAUAUUUUAGGACCAACUGUUUUUUGUCUGUGUUUUGGUCACAUUAUAGUCAUUAUCUUAUACUGGAGACAUUACAUUGCUGAUUUGCUUCUAAAGAUUCUGAUGUUUGACUGCUGUUGAAAGCGAUCUGUUCCAUGUACAAGUGGCAGCUUUUGGAGAUGGCAGCUCUGUUUGUGCAGCCUUCUGGAGACCAUGUGUUAGAGGAGAUUUUCAUGUUGUCCAGAUAGCUGGCUAAUUCUGAUCAGGACUGUUAGCCUAUGUUGUUCUAUAAAUGUCUGCCCCCAAAGGGUACUUACAAACUUGUGAUUUUUUCUGACUUGCAAGCUCAGAUUAGUUGCUCCAGUCUGCUUAAUCUUGGAAGCUUCAGCUGCUGUGGAGUGAAUGCCAGCCUGCCUGCUGAUGAACACAUCUGCUACGUUUUAUCUGUUUUGUAAUCCAAAUGUUUUUGAGACCAUCUCUGUCCAUAUACAGUCAAUUUAGUUGUGCCAUUAGGGUUUGAGUACAGAUGGCAAGUGUGCUCAUAAUAACUUCCCUGACUGUAAGUUGGAUUCUAUGAAACAAAACUGACUCUUUCCAUUUGUGAGCCAUGCAAACAUGAGUUUUAUUUUUAUUAUUUUUGUUAGACUUAUGAUGGAAUUAGGACAGAUGUAGUCUCAAAAAGGUUUUGCUCUGAAGAUUUUUUUUUUUAAACUUUGAAAAUGCUGCUAAUUCAGUUGCUCUGAUACCUCCUGAAGAGCACAUCAUGGUAGACUUAUUCAGUAUGUAUAAUGUGUUAUUCUGAGAGCAGACCCCAGGGAGGUGGCAGAAGCUCUCUCCUAGUGUGUCAGAUUUUGAGAGUUGUAAGUUGCAAGAACAAUUACAGAAAUCAGAGACCUCAGAAAUAGUGAGAAUAAAUACUGGGAUAGCAUUUAGACUGGAUAAGCUCUCAGAUAUUUUAUACAGAUUUAUUUAAAGUGUGUUUACAUAUAAUGCUAUCAAAAUUAUGAGUAUUUACAUAUAAUCUGACAGGAAAAAAAGAAGGUAACAGCACGAUGUUAGUCCUACAAAGUUACCACUGCCAGGGAGUAGAAACUGCAGCAGUGCAUAAGAGGGGAACAGUAUACAAUAAUUAAUCUCGUAAGUUUAAGAGCUUGUCUGCUAGGAAGUGUUUUAAAAAGAUCUCUUUAUCAGAUAAUAAAGCAAACAAGAGAAAUGACAUUUGUUGUAAGAAACAUCUACAGCAAAUAAUUUGCCCCUAGUGACACAUUAGUUAACACUAUAAGUGCCAUUAUAAUUGACUGAGUAUCACUUCUUUUGUUUGAUCAUGAAGCAGUAAUUAUGUAUAAUACAAGCUUCAGCAUAGAAGUGAUUGAUUAUAUGUCUUUUAUAGAGGAAAAAAGAAGUAAAAACAAAAUAGUUAAUUAUGAUGUGAUCUUCUCAUAGUUUGUGCAGCUUUAGUAAGAGAAUGAAGACAGCUGCAAGAGUAGGCUUUACAGUUUAGUUGUCAGCUUCCUAACUGCAUGAACAUUACCCUGUCCUUCUGUAGGCUUCACUGUGUACCAAAAUCUUUCGUCUUUCUCCCCAAAAUGCACGUACAGCACCUUCUUGUUUGGUGCAGAAAUGCCUAGAAAUUAAAAGAAAAAGAAAUUAAAUGACUAAGUAUUCAGACUCAGUAAACACUCAUGCACAUGAAUAAUAACUGAAUAAUCUUGAUAGCAUAAGUCAGUUGUGCUGCUGUUACUGCAACUCUCAAACUUUAUUCCUGUGUGUUUUCAGAUUCAUCAGACAUAGCAAUUGUUAUGCAGAAAGAGGAAAGGUGAACUUGUAGGGGAAAUGUCUAAAAACGCAUUUCUGAAAUGAAGACGUAAUGAAUAAGCUUUGGAGUGCUGUUAUGAGCCAUAGUUUGGAGUUGUUUAUAAGUGAAGCCUUUUUGAUCUAUAUUCUGCUGUUGUCUAGAUUUUUAUCUUAAUAUAGAGAUAAAAGUAGCUAAAUGAAUCGGCUAUAAGAAUGGAAAGCCACAUAGGGUUGGUUUUUCUUUGUUUUGUUUGUUUUUUUUAUUAUUUUGGAAAAUAGGGUUAAUCUGCAGGAGAUAAGAUGGUAGAACUCUCUUCACUUGCAUAACUUGGUCAAAGAUAAAUGGUCUUUGACCUCUACCCUGAAAUGAGCAUAUCUGGGAUUUUCCACAUAAAUGACAGAAUCAUUUCUGCUGGUGGCUUCUUCUUCCAUCAUCCCAAGGACUCUGGUCUUGGGAACAAAUGUGAUGGCUAAUAAUUAAAAUUUGGCAAAUUUGUAGGAAGUUGUUAAGAGGACUCCACAGUGGUUUUUGAGAUGAAAUUACUUAAUUGUAGUUGGAUUUUGUUCCUUUUUUCCUUACAUAGCAAUAGAAAUAUGACAGUUAAAGUACCACUUCACGUUUGGUGUGAGGGUGUGUGGGUGGAUGGAAGAAUCUGAAUAAUUUUUUACUAUCUGGAUGUAAACUGUCAAAUAUACUAGGUUUAACAGGACCAUUUCCUAAUCUGUUAUCAGUUCACUUUCUAAUUCAGUGUUGGCCAAAUACCAUUUUUCAUAUUUAACAUGGACACAAACUUUGAUGUUUAAUACUUCUGAUUCUCAAGUCUGAUAUUUACCUGGUAAUUUUUUUCUAUAAACUACUUAAUAAGUGUAUUACAGGUUUAGGUAAGACUUUGAAGAGGCUUAGAGUUGAUCAACUCUUACGUAGUGCAGUUAUGCAGGGAUAAAAAUGAAAAAAUGCAGUGAAGCAUGAAACUCAUAGGAAAAACCACCAAAAUGAUGCACAAAAUAGUACAUUUUUGUCAUUAAAUAAAUAACUGGAUAACCAGCUGGUACUGAAAUUUUGGUCAAGAACUGAGUUUGGCUGGGAAUUGCUUUUGACUGUUGUUAAUAAGGCAUAGCAACUGACUUUUUUCUUUUUUUUCCUAGUGAACUGAUCUUAUAGACAUUGACGGUAUAAGCAUUUUCUCUGUAUGAGUAAAAGCACUGGAGGCUUAGAUAGAAGCACAUUUGCCGCUGUUUUACAUAACAUUUGGAUUAUUUCCACUUUAUCAUCUGUAAUGUAAAUGGAAUAAAAAGGCAAGAGCAGAUGAGAAGGAUUCCAGUAGAUUGUGUCAUCAAAUGACUAUGGCUAAUUUAAACUUUCGGUAUUAAUAAUGAAACAGGUCUUGGAAUUUAUUUUUCUAAUAAUAAUAACAAUAAAAGAUUGCAACAACUCUGUUCCCUCUUGCCUCAGUCCCCCUGCCCUCUUUUUUUUUUUUUCCUUCCCUUUCCCAAAACUGAAAAAAGGAGGAUGAAUUUCUGGUAUUUUGAUGGUAAGAUAGACUUUAAUGCUGAACUGUUUAGUACACAUGGAAGAGCAAUUUUAUGAGUGUUCUUUAGUUUUGGAGGUCACUAAGUGUUUUAGGUUAACAUUUUGAUUUGACUUAACAACAAUAUCUUACACCUUUGAUAGAACUGAAUUUAUGUGAACAAUCUAAGUCUAGUCUUUUAGCCCAGAGUGGAUGGUAAUAUGAGCCUACUGAAGAGAUAAUUACAUGCUCCGUUGGGAAAAGCGGAUGCCUAUCAUCAGCUUUCAGGAUUUAUCUCUGUGAGUAGAUAGGCACAGCAAGUAUUUAUCACUAGUUGCUUUUUUCAUUUGUAUUUACACAGAAUGUCUGUAAACCUCUUAUUCUAACUCCUGAUUUUUAAUGUGGAGAUACAACUGACUUGAAACCAGAAUACGAAUAAAUGCUAUUAAAAUGAAGUUUAUAACAGAGGAAGUGGGUUUUUCUCUCCUCUUCUUACACUAACUGUAAGUAUUAAUGCUGUAAAAGAUGGAUUGAACAAGUCCCUGCAGUAUUUAACUGUGAAGUGCUGAUAAGUAUUGGGAUUGCUCAAUAUUUCUGUGGCUUUAUUUUCCAGUAGAACUACUGGGAAGGGAAUUACAAGAACAGGAAAUCCUAAUGGUAAAUAUGAAAUGACUCUGAAUCUGGGAAUACUGUUGUGCUGAAUGACUUGGGGCUGAGCUGCAAGAAGUCCAGAUUUGCUGGCUUCUUGCUCCUGGCGAUGAAUGGGGAUCUGGUCCUGUACCAAGGGUCAGCAGCUGGGGAAAUAGUGCAUGUGUCUGAGAGUGGGUGUUUUUGUUAUCAGUGUGAAUUUUAACGGCUAUUGCAAGGAAAGCAAGUGAUUCUGUAAAUGGAUAAAGCAGGCUUACUGUAGUCUGCAGGAUGUACUAGCAAACAGAAUGAAACCCAAUUUUCUGACUGUUGGGGGUUGGAGGGAGUUAUAUAUGAAAAGUUGCCAAAAUAAAGAAAGAAAACUGUGCUUCCAGCCUCUUUAUUAAUCUAUACUAUUUUUACUUUACAAAGGUUACUUUGUUUCAAUUCAGUUUUCGCCUAACUUUUUCCUAGAUUAGUCUCUAGAAGUAGAAAGGAUAAUAAGCAACUCUGGACAAAGUGCAAACACAGACCCUUGUGGAAACUUUCAGUCCUUGUGGAAAAUCUCCCACAGUAUCCUAUCAAUACAGCAGAUGUCUGAAAUAUCCUUGGAUAUCUUCAUUUAUGGAACUGAGCUUGGCAAGGGAUAUGAAAAAUAACAAGGGGAUUCUACAGGUAUUUGAAAAUUCAUGGCUGUCAGGCAGAAUCCCCAGUGACUGGAAAAAGGAAAACAUCACUCCCAUUAAGAAAGGGAGAAAGGAAGGAUUGUGAAAGUACAGGCUGGUGAGUCUCACCUCUGUGCCUGAGAAGCAGAGCAGAUCCUCCUGGAAGCUAUAUUAAGGCACGUGUGAUAUAGAGAGGUGAUCUGAGACACUCAGCACAGCUUCAUCAAGGGCGGAUUGUGCCCCACCAAUCUGGUGGCCUCCUGUGAUGGAGUGACAGCAUCUGUGGACAAACGAAGAGCAACUGUUGUUGUCUACGUGGACUUGUAACAAGGCCUUUGACGUGGUCUCACACCACAUCUUUAUCCCUGCAUUGGAGAGUUAUGGAUUUGAAGGCUGGACUAUUCAGUGGAUAAAUAAUUGAUUGGAUGGUUGCAGCUAGAGAUUUGUGGUCAAAGGCUCUAUGUUCAGGCGAAGGCUGCUGACGAUUACUUUCAACAUGACUUAGCAUUUUUUAUUUCAUUUAUGCCUCUUACAUUUGAUAUAUCUAACAUCAAUGUCUUAAAAUGAGCAGAUUUUCAUUUUUAUUAGCUUUAGAUCUGCAGCUUGUCUCCAAAGGUAUCAGAAGCAGUUUCUUCUCUCCUGUUCUAUUACGUGAGAAGGCUUCCAGAGGCAAUCUGCAUUCCCAUGAGCUGAGAAUGUACUCUUUAGCCUUCAUCAGAUUUGGCCAAUUUCAAAUUGAGAUAAUAAUGUGAUAGUGGUGUUGUUCUUUUUAAUUCUCACUUGUGCUAUGAACUCCUUGUAUCUUACAAGUAGAUAUGAAAUUACUCCUGGAAGAGCACUUAGCAAUAAUUAGAUAUGCCAUAAAAACUGAAAAGAGUAGGAGGAAGUCCAAUGCUAGAAGUCUUCUUCUUGUCCAUCACAGAAUGAAAAAACUUGUACAUCUGUAAGCCUUGUAAAACACAAAAAUUUUACAGACUACAGAGUUACUUCUGAACUGUGAAGUAACAAAUAUUAAUUGAUGGAAGAUCUUAAAGAUUAGUUCAUCAAUUCUUCAGUAAAUUCCUGUAUAUGAAUGCAUGUGGUUUGUCUGUGCAACAGUUAAUGCCGUGGAUUUUCCAGGGAUUUAGAGCCGAACGCUACACGGUGCGGGAAGCAUGACAAUCUCAAUAUGAGUACGCAAGCUUCAACUUUAAUGGAGUACUUCACAACAUAUAUAGAAACUGAGUUACACCUGGCAAACUGCCAUUGGUGGGGCUACCCCAGCCCCAUCCUCUGGUUGGUGAUUACAACUUGUUGAACAAACAAAGCCAAACAGCAACCACCCCCCCUGUGCCCAACAGUUAACCUCCUGAUACUUCUGUCCUUGGGCUCCGCCCCACCCAAGGACCCCUAGGCCCUGCCGACCGUCCACCCAGAACUACUCCAUACACACACUCUGCAGUACUUCCUUGCUCGUACAGUCACUCAAGUGAUCCGUGGCCACUCUAAUCCUGCAAAAAUUCCCCCUCUUUCUUUUUGUACGAGCAAGGCUGACUGCGUAAGCCGUCUUACCCCACGCACCCGCUGUAACCCCUCUUUGAUUAAAGUAGUUAGCCAGGGGGACAGGCCCCCGAACAGUCCCCGUAGCCAACUGUCAGAUGGAUUAAUGUUCUGAGGAUCAUGUAGAGUCUGGAGAUCCGUGUAGAGGAUGAGUUAUCAUCAGGAUGGAUGUGUAUAGUAAAGAAGGUCCCCAUCAAUUGCAUGAAGCAGCUGGUAUUUUCCAGAUUUUUUUCCAUAUCGAUGGGCUAGUGGAUGGCUUUAUACGUCCGUUCUCCAGCUGUUCCUGGACCAACAUGGACGCUUGCUGCAGGUUUUCCCUCUUUAACAGCCACAGCUCAAUCCAUACUGGCGUGUCGAUGAGCCUGUAUUCGAGGAGACAGCUGCAGGCUUGGUAAGCGUUGUAUCUACUACAGUUGCCAGGUCCAGGCCAAUACUUCCUCUGGUGGCGGGGCAGAGGGAACAGUUGGCUGAGGCUCCAUCGUUGGGAUUGGAGCAGGUUGGGAUGUCACAAGAGGUUGAUGGUGCACACCGGCUGCGGGCUCAGUGCAGGGGCUGCUACUGUUGUCAUUGCUCAACAGCCCUUCACACUUGAAUCCCCGUUUCCCACCGUUCAGCAAACAGAUGUGUCGUUGGUCGCGGAGUUGCAGCACUGGCACCAUACACUAACCCUACAGCCAUUUCUAACAUGGCCCUCCCUCUGCAUAAAUCCCCGACCCCUUGGACAGCCCUCCCCUCUGGAAUCCCUGGCCGGGGACAGCAGGACCAAGGCAGCAAACACCUGGGUUUGUGCUUGCAGCAACUUAUCGCCCAGCUCUUGCACAGCUUCUACCAAGAAUGCUGAUGGUCCCACUGGCACAUGACUCAUACGCUCUAACAUCAUUUCAAUAGUGGCAUCCAUAGGCAAGGUGACCAAUAUGGCUUUCGUGGCGGCAUUGCAAUUUUGCAUGGCACAUUGGCAGAGUAAUGCCCCUUUCAUCCAAUCGGGGACGUCACCUUGGUUAAUUGCCUCCGUUACCUUGUCUAUAAAGCUGGCGAAAGAUUCCUCUCUUCCUUGUUUCAACGACAUAUAUGAUGGAGUGGGGGCAGUUGUCUUAACCAUUCCUAUUGCCCGCAUUGCUAAUUGCAUACUUUCGACACGCACCUCCAGCCCCAUUUGAACUUGCAUGGCUGGGGUGGCAAACAACCCUGUCCCCAUUAGUUGUUGCGUGGUUACCCCGAACAACGGGUCUGUCUGGGGACGUGGCGCGUUAGCGCUCAUAUCACAGAGGCGCUGCCAGUGAGCUUGCCACAAUAACUGCUCUGACUGGGACAUUAUCAUACGGACAAUAGUCUUUAUGUCUUCUGGCACCAGCACUCAACUCCCCCGAAUGUAGGCUAGCAUUUGCUUUGAUGGCUCCCCAUGCAGCCCGGUCUCAUUUACUGUUGCCCGUAAUUGUGCUAAUAUGUCCUAUCUAAGGGAAAAUGCUCACCCUGCAAGCCCUGCAAGCCUCCCGGACCCAGUUCAAACCGUACUGGGAAAGCUUGCCCUAUUAACCCCAGCGCCUCGAGGUCUUGGCCAGCAACGGCAUCUCGCGCAAUCGCCGACCAAUUAACACCUCGUACUGACGGCACUCGGGGAAUUCUCCCAUCGUCUCCUAACGAGCCAUGCCACGUUACUGCAGCGCUUCCCCCCCCCUACCGAUCUCAGCUAGGGGUUCCGGGCGGGGAACAGUUCCUGCUCGCGCCGGUGUUACUGGCGGCAGAAAGGAGGUUUUUUCAGGAACUGUAGCAACUUUAUGGGGGGUUUCUGCUGCGCCAUCUUCGUCCUCCUUCCCCCCUCCGAUGGAGGGCUCUGAGUCGGGAGGAGGAGGGGGCGCCAAUGGCACAGUCACCUCCUGCCACGGUUUCAUAAGUUUCUUUGCCGACCAAUCGUCAUCAAUAACCCUAUUCCAUAGGGGCUCACCGUACCGAUGCCACUCCUCCUCGUCAAAAUACGAGCUACAAUGCGGGAAAAAACCGCAGGCUUCCCCAAAGGAAACAAGUCCCGGUAUCGCUUUCAGCGUACCAUUAUCCAAGCCACGCUUUUGUAAAAAGCAAAUAAGUAAAACCCUGCACUACCUCCCUAUCCAUGGUGCACUGCAACUCCGCGUCCCGCCGCCGUCGCAAGCGCCCCCAACUACUGUGCUCCGGAGCUCCUUUUGGUAGAUGCCGCAGUGGUUUCCGAGCUAGGCACGUCUUAUUGCAGGAUCGCCGGACGCCCCGUUCGCUCGCACUUCACGUUCAUGCCGCUCUCGUGUCCCUGUUCGGGCGCCACUUGCCGCGGAUUUUCCAGGGAUUUAGAGCCGAACACUACACGGUGCGGGAAGCAUGACAAUCUCAAUAUGAGUACGCAAGCUUCAACUUUAAUGGAGUACUUCACAACAUAUAUAGAAACUGAGUUACACCUGGCAAACUGCCAUUGGUGGGGCUACCCCAGCCCCAUCCUCUGGUUGGUGAUUACAACUUGUUGAACAAACAAAGCCAAACAGCAACCACCCCCCCUGUGCCCAACAGUUAACCUCCUGAUACUUCUGUCCUUGGGCUCCGCCCCACCCAAGGACCCCUAGGCCCUGCCGACCGUCCACCCAGAACUACUCCAUACACACACUCUGCAGUACUUCCUUGCUCGUACAGUCGCUCAAGUGAUCUGUGGCCACCCUAAUCCUGCAACAAGUUAACUCAUAAUCCCUCACGUUCUUCAUUCAAGAGUGUUUAAAUAGUUUUGGUAAAAGUUCUCUAUGUAGGGAUUUCUUCCACUUUGUAUAUUCUAAUAAUAAUAUAUUAAAAAUGAGUUA